This 65-nucleotide transfer RNA is filed under the name Rattus norvegicus (Norway rat). It matches the Rfam family "tRNA". From Rfam's summary of the family: Transfer RNA (tRNA) molecules are approximately 80 nucleotides in length. Their secondary structure includes four short double-helical elements and three loops (D, anti-codon, and T loops). Further hydrogen bonds mediate the characteristic L-shaped molecular structure. tRNAs have two regions of fundamental functional importance: the anti-codon, which is responsible for specific mRNA codon recognition, and the 3' end, to which the tRNAs corresponding amino acid is attached (by aminoacyl-tRNA synthetases). tRNAs cope with the degeneracy of the genetic code in two manners: having more than one tRNA (with a specific anti-codon) for a particular amino acid; and 'wobble' base-pairing, i.e. permitting non-standard base-pairing at the 3rd anti-codon position. Lineage: Eukaryota; Metazoa; Chordata; Mammalia; Rodentia; Muridae. The record is from Rfam by way of RNAcentral.
GGGGAUUUAGCUCAGUGGUAGAGCGCUUGCCUAGCAAGAGUGCAAGGCCCUGGGUUCAGUCCUCA